RNAcentral lists this transfer RNA (55 nucleotides) under Vibrio cholerae. Its description in RNAcentral is "tRNA-Val". It matches the Rfam family "tRNA", at positions 8 to 60 of the family's 71-position model. Rfam says of the family: Transfer RNA (tRNA) molecules are approximately 80 nucleotides in length. Their secondary structure includes four short double-helical elements and three loops (D, anti-codon, and T loops). Lineage: Bacteria; Pseudomonadati; Pseudomonadota; Gammaproteobacteria; Vibrionales; Vibrionaceae. The record is from RNAcentral.
UAGCUCAGUUGGGAGAGCACCUGCCUUACAAGCAGGGGGUCACUGGUUCGAACCC